RNAcentral lists this unclassified non-coding RNA (268 nucleotides) under soil metagenome. Its description in RNAcentral is "partial internal transcribed spacer 1". The record is from RNAcentral.
CCAAUUUUAUAUACUAGUGUGUAUGCCGCUGUCAAAGGUGGUACUACACUACUACUAUUAUGUAAACGUUGAACUAGAUCAAUUGGUGUGGAUUGCUUGGGAAUGGGCGAAGCGACAAGCCUCUUCCGGACAGGCAAACCCCACACUGAUAACCUUUUCAAUAUAAUUUACUAGUACAUACUACAAACAAACAAACCAAACAAAAGCUAUAUAGGACUUAUAAACAGGCUGAGUGGGUAAAAUCCUCGGCUUAACAAUAUAACUAUUA